ACGUCGAUUGCGCCAAUUCGAGAUGGAUUACUGAAGUUAAGCAACGUUGCGCGUGGUUGAUAUCCGGAUGGGUGACCAUCUGGGCAACCACGUGCUGUUGCCU
Molecule: ribosomal RNA, 103 nt
Filed under: Diaphorina citri (Asian citrus psyllid)
Lineage: Eukaryota; Metazoa; Arthropoda; Insecta; Hemiptera; Psyllidae
Source: RNAcentral